This 2718-nucleotide long non-coding RNA is filed under the name Podarcis lilfordi (Lilford's wall lizard). Lineage: Eukaryota; Metazoa; Chordata; Lepidosauria; Squamata; Lacertidae. The record is from RNAcentral.
UUCUAGUGUGGCUCAGAAGUCAGAGGAGGAAGUAGGGGAGGGCAGAACCUCGUAAUUCAUGUGUCAUGGCAGGUGCAAGAACUACCGUGGAAAUUAUUGUUGGCUACAGUCACAGUAAACCAAAGCUGAAGCAGUGAAGAGUCUGACUCAUAUGUAUGGGUGCACUGAACGACCUUUUUUUGAUCACAUGCUGUUUGCCUCUAGCACACUUCUUCUGCUCGCUCCUGCGAAACCCUUUACCAGGUCUGUGUUCUGAACAGUAGAAUAUUAUUGCUGGUUAAGUUUCCUUGCACAGUUAAGGCACAUACCUCACCCAAGUCUUAUUUCCCAUUGCUGUGAGGAAAACCCAUUCACCCUGUCCUCACCGACUGUAAUAUAAUGGUGGGUAGAAUAUUGUGUCCCCCAGUGGUGCUGCUCUGACAGGAAGUCAAAGAGCGUGGGGAAAAGGGGAAAUUACGGUAUCUCUUUACAGGUGUAGUAUGUACAGUUCGCAGGAACAAAUUAAUGCCCCUUUGUGAAUUCAGUAAUAAAUGACAUGCAUGAUUAUGUAUAGGUCAGGUAUGUUUGGCAAAAAGCAGACUACAGUAUCCAUUCAUCUAUUCAUUAUUUUUUUUAAAAAAGUAGCCUCCAUGAUAAUGUCCUUGCAAGCUUUCAAUAGCUCCCUGGCAGCAUCAUGUCAUUCCACAAGUGCCACCAUUGUUGCAAUGCUGAUGGAAGAAGCCAGCAGAUAACAAGUUUAUUUUCUAUUUAGAAGCUUGUGUAAAUCACUUUAAUAACUUUAAAAAAAUUCAAAAUGGUUGUCAUCUAUAAAAUUAUUAGGUGUACUUAUAUACAAUGUAAAUAAAUAAAUAAAAAUGUUUUCCCAGUAGCAUCUUAGAGACCAACUAAGUUUGUUCUGGGUAUAAGCUUUCGUGUGCAUGCACACUUCUUCAAAUACACACUUAUAUGCAAUGCUUUGCAGUUAAGUUUGAAAACCACUCCAAAUCUGCAACUCCAGAAUCACUUGUUCCAUGUUUAACUUACAUUAAGUAGGAAUACUAUGGACUCAGGCCUGCAAUUGUUCAUGCUGUUGUAUGCACCGAUGCUCCCACAGUGAUCUAUACAAGGUAAAUGGGAAUACAUUAGCUUGCUAUGCUGAACAAAUUGAAACAAUUGAGAACAAUGUCCAGGGCUGUGCAGAUGUCUCUAUCAUAAACCUCAACAGCCCUGAAGUGUAUCAGCUUUUAGAGUGCUUAUCAUGAGGGGUGUGAUGUUUCAGUUUUUAAAGUCCCUUUCUGGAUACUUUGCUGAACAAAGGAGACCAGACUAGAAGGGAAUUUGUGUACACUCAUAGUAUUGCAAUCUAUUGAAUUUUUAUUUUUUUAAAAACACUUUAGACCAAUAAAAGUCAAAACUAACCACUCAUAUAAGUGAGUAUUCCAGGCUUUGCGGAACAGGACCUAAGCCGAGGGCAUUUACUUCUGCUUUUCAGCUUUCUCUGUUCUUCCAUCUCCUCUGAAGAAGGUCAGCUGAACAACCAGCAGCUGAACCAUGCAAAGCCAACGUGGGCGCAAUCUGGUUCGGAAAAUACAGCCAGAGGCAACCUAGAUACAUACAAACAAGUACACAUUUCUUUGUAUGACUCAACAGUAAACAUUGAAAUGGCCUAAACCCUGUACAUUUCAGAUCUAGAAUAGAAUGGAACCACCAAAGGCAAGUAUAGAUUUUCCUGAUCCUGUGUUAGUUGAGCAGCUGGGUUACAUAGCAGAAUGUGCAAAGGAACAUGUGGCUGGACAGCUCCAGGUAACCUACAAAUCCUAUGCUGAAGCAGAGCAUCACUCACAACAAUAUACUGUAUCUGUUUGCAGUCAAAUUACAAUGGGAUCAGGUGGAGGAGACUAUGUGACUCACUAGCCUGUUUCCAGGCUUUAUUUUAUAAUUGACUGGCUCAGUCUUUUGGUCACAUUUAGAUUCUGAUCAAUCAGACAUGGCUCCUUGAAAUGUAUCCCAUGCAGAUGUUUCAGGUAGACAGAAGGUACUUGAUAGAAAUGUUCCGUGCUUUUUUCCUGGGUGCACAGUACCGGCACCUUUUUUUCCUAGAAGAAAAGCACUGGCAUAUGUUGAAGACAGUUCUCAGUUGGUUUUUCAUGCUGCAUAUAAAACCACUUUAAUGCACUAUGAACAGUGAGAGAAAGAAGCUUAUGGCCCCAUAUGCACAGUCUUAAUUGGUUCCAUACCCAUACAAUUGCUUCUAAUAUGAAAAAUGUUGUUUAACAAGACUUUUGCCUAUAUCUGUGAAAACCAAAGCAACUGCUUAUGGAUAUCUAGUUGCAUACCUCACAAUGGCCAGUAUAAACUCUUUCUGCUUCCUAGUGAGUUUGGGGAAGAACAUCUGUAUAAAUAUAUCUAGAUAUAUGCCUCUAUUCAAUAGAUUGGUGUCCUAUAAAUGUCAACGAGUUUAGAGGAGCAUUCAUUGUUUUGUUAUUAUUCCCUUUAACAGAUGAUCCUUCCUCCAAAGUAUAUGACACUUCUGAGUGGGUUAUUUUGGUUUGAUAAUAAGUAAUCUUUCCUCCCAGAAAUGACUGUUUGGUUCCUUCAGCAUGGAUUUCUGAAAAAUAAGUCAUGUCAGACUAACCUGAUCUCGUUUUUUGACAGAAUUACAAGCCUGGUAGAUGAAGGGAACACAGUGGAUGUAGCCUACUGUACCUUGAUUUCAGCAAGGCAUUUGACAAGGUGCCC